GUUAGGGUUGGGCUUGGAGCUAGGAUUUUUCUGAGUGCACUGAACCAACUCCCGAGUCUCUAGGACAUUCCUAAAAAAAUUGAUUUUUUCCCAUAGGAAUGCAUGGGUUAGGGUUAGGGUUAGGGUUGGAGCUAGGGUUAGGGUUAGGGUUAGGGUUGGAGUUAGGGUUAGUGUUGGAGCUAGGGUUAGGGUUGGGCUUGGAGCUAGGAUUUUUCUGAGUGCACUGAACCAACUCCCGAGUCUCUAGGACAUUCCUAAAAAAAAAUUUGAUUUUUUCCCAUAGGAAUGCAUGGGUUAGGGUUAUGGUUAGGGUAAGGGUUGGAGCUAGGGUUAGGGUUAGGGUUAGGGUUGGAGUUAGGGUUAGUGUUGGAGCUAGGGUUAGGGUUGGGCUUGGAGCUAGGAUUUUUCUGAGUGCAAUGAACCAACUCCCGAGUCUCUUGGACAUUCCUAAAAAAAUUUGAUUUUUUCCCAUAGGAAUGCAUGGGUUAGGGUUAGGGUUAGGGUUGGAGCUAGGGUUAGGGUUAGGGUUAGUGUUGGAGCUAGGGUUAGGGUUGGGCUUGGAGCUAGGACUUUUCUGAGUGCAAUGAACCAACUCCCGAGUCUCUAGGACGUUCCCUAAAAAAAUUUGAUUUUUUCCCAUAGGAAUGCAUGGGUUAGGGUUAGGGUUAGGGUUGGAGCUAGGGUUAGGGUUAGGGUUAGGGUUGGAGUUAGGGUUAGUGUUGGAGCUAGGGUUAGGGUUGGGCUUGGAGCUAGGAUUUUUCUGAGUGCACUGAACCAACUCCCGAGUCUCUAGGACAUUCCUAAAAAAAUUUGAUUUUUUCCCAUAGGAAUGCAUGGGUUAGGGUUAUGGUUAGGGUUAGGGUUGGAGCUAGGGUUAGGGUUAGGGUUAGGGUUGGAGUUAGGGUUAGUGUUGGAGCUAGGGUUAGGGUUGGGCUUGGAGCUAGGAUUUUUCUGAGUGCAAUGAACCAACUCCCGAGUCUCUAGGACGUUCCUAAAAAAUUUGAUUUUUUCCCAUAGGAAUGCAUGGGUUAGGGUUAGGGUUAGGGUUGGAGCUAGGGUUAGGGUUAGGGUUAGGGUUGGAGUUAGGGUUAGUGUUGGAGCUAGGGUUAGGGUUGGGCUUGGAGCUAGGAUUUUUCUGAGUGCAAUGAACCAACUCCCGAGUCUCUAGGACGUUCCUAAAAAAAUUUGAUUUUUUCCCAUAGGAAUGCAUGGGUUAGGGUUAGGGUUAGGGUUAGGGUUGGAUCUAGGGUUAGGGUUAGGGUUAGGGUUGGAGUUAGGGUUAGUGUUGGAGCUAGGGUUAGGGUUGGGCUUGGAGCUAGGAUUUUUCUGAGUGCAAUGAACCAACCCCGAGUCUCUAGGACGUUCCUAAAAAAAUUUGAUUUUUUCCCAUAGGAAUGCAUGGGUUAGGGUUAUGGUUAGGGUUAGGGUUGGAGCUAGGGUUAGGGUUAGGGUUAGGGUUGGAGUUAGGGUUAGUGUUGGAGCUAGGGUUAGGGUUGGGCUUGGAGCUAGGAUUUUUCUGAGUGCACUGAACCAACUCCCGAGUCUCUAGGACAUUCCUAAAAAAAAUUGAUUUUUUCCCAUAGGAAUGCAUGGGUUAGGGUUAGGGUUAGGGUUGGAGCUAGGGUUAGGGUUAGGGUUGGAGUUAGGGUUAGUGUUGGAGCUAGGGUUAGGGUUGGGCUUGGAGCUAGGACUUUUCUGAGUGCAAUGAACCAACUCCCGAGUCUCUAGGACGUUCCCUAAAAAAAUUUGAUUUUUUCCCAUAGGAAUGCAUGGGUUAGGGUUAGGGUUAGGGUUGGAGCUAGGGUUAGGGUUAGGGUUAGGGUUGGAGUUAGGGUUAGUGUUGGAGCUAGGGUUAGGGUUGGGCUUGGAGCUAGGAUUUUUCUGAGUGCACUGAACCAACUCCCGAGUCUCUAGGACAUUCCUAAAAAAAAUUGAUUUUUUUCCCAUAGGAAUGCAUGGGUUAGGGUUAGGGUUAGGGUUGGAGCUAGGGUUAGGGUUAGGGUUAGGGUUGGAGUUAGGGUUAGUGUUGGAGCUAGGGUUAGGGUUGGGCUUGGAGCUAGGAUUUUUCUGAGUGCACUGAACCAACUCCCGAGUCUCUAGGACAUUCCUAAAAAAAUUUGAUUUUUUCCCAUAGGAAUGCAUGGGUUAGGGCUAUGGUUAGGGUAAGGGUUGGAGCUAGGGUUAGGGUUAGGGUGAGGGUUGGAGUUAGGGUUAGUGUUGGAGCUAGGGUUAGGGUUGGGCUUGGAGCUAGGAUUUUUCUGAGUGCAAUGAACCAACUCCCGAGUCUCUUGGACAUUCCUAAAAAAAUUUGAUUUUUUCCCAUAGGAAUGCAUGGGUUAGGGUUAGGGUUAGGGUUGGAGCUAGGGUUAGGGUUAGGGUUAGGGUUGGAGUUAGGGUUAGUGUUGGAGCUAGGGUUAGGGUUGGGCUUGGAGCUAGGAUUUUUCUGAGUGCAAUGAACCAACUCCCGAGUCUCUAGGACGUUCCUAAAAAAAUUUGAUUUUUUCCCAUAGGAAUGCAUGGGUUAGGGUUAGGGUUAGGGUUAGGGUUGGAGCUAGGGUUAGGGUUAGGGUUAGGGUUGGAGUUAGGGUUAGUGUUGGAGCUAGGGUUAGGGUUGGGCUUGGAGCUAGGAUUUUUCUGAGUGCAAUGAACCAACCCCGAGUCUCUAGGACGUUCCUAAAAAAAUUUGAUUUUUUCCCAUAGGAAUGCAUGGGUUAGGGUUAUGGUUAGGGUUAGGGUUGGAGCUAGGGUUAGGGUUAGGGUUAGGGUUGGAGUUAGGGUUAGUGUUUGAGCUAGGGUUAGGGUUGGGCUUGGAGCUAGGAUUUUUCUGAGUGCAAUGAACCAACUCCCGAGUCUCUAGGACGUUCCUAAAAAAAUUUGAUUUUUUCCCAUAGGAAUGCAUGGGUUAGGGUUAGGGUUAGGGUUGGAGCUAGGGUUAGGGUUAGGGUUAGGGUUGGAGUUAGGGUUAGUGUUGGAGCUAGGGUUAGGGUUGGGCUUGGAGCUAGGAUUUUUCUGAGUGCAAUGAACCAACUCCCGAGUCUCUAGGACGUUCCUAAAACAAUUUGAUUUUUUCCCAUAGGAAUGCAUGGGUUAGGGUUAGGGUUAGGGUUGGAGCUAGGGUUAGGGUUAGGGUUAGGGUUGGAGUUAGGGUUAGUGUUGGAGCUAGGGUUAGGGUUGGGCUUGGAGCUAGGACUUUUCUGAGUGCAAUGAACCAACUCCCGAGUCUCUAGGACGUUCCCUAAAAAAAUUUGAUUUUUUCCCAUAGGAAUGCAUGGGUUAGGGUUAGGGUUAGGGUUGGAGCUAGGGUUAGGGUUAGGGUUAGGGUUAGAGUUAGGGUUAGUGUUGGAGCUAGGGUUAGGGUUGGGCUUGGAGCUAGGAUUUUUCUGAGUGCACUGAACCAACUCCCGAGUCUCUAGGACAUUCCUAAAAAAAUUGAUUUUUUUCCAUAGGAAUGCAUGGGUUAGGGUUAGGGUUAGGGUUGGAGCUAGGGUUAGUGUUAGGUUUAGGGUUGGAGUUAGGGUUAGUGUUUGAGCUAGGGUUAGGGCUGGGCUUGGAGCUAGGAUUUUUCUGAGUGCAAUGAACCAACUCCCGAGUCUCUAGGACGUUCCUAAAAAAAAUUGAUUUUUUCCCAUAGGAAUGCAUGGGUUAGGGUUAGGGUUAGGGUUGGAGCUAGGGUUAGGGUUAGGGUUAGGGUUGGAGUUAGGGUUAGUGUUGGAGCUAGGGUUAGGGUUGGGCUUGGAGCUAGGAUUUUUCUGAGUGCAAUGAACCAACUCCCGAGUCUCUAGGACGUUCCUAAAAAAAUUUGAUUUUUUCCCAUAGGAAUGCAUGGGUUAGGGUUAGGGUUAGGGUUGGAGCUAGGGUUAGGGUUAGGGUUAGGGUUGGAGUUAGGGUUAGUGUUGGAGCUAGGGUUAGGGUUGGGCUUGGAGCUAGGAUUUUUCUGAGUGCACUGAACCAACUCCCGAGUCUCUAGGACAUUCCUAAAAAAAUUUGAUUUUUUCCCAUAGGAAUGCAUGGGUUAGGGUUAGGGUUAGGGUUGGAGCUAGGGUUAGGGUUAGGGUUGGAGUUAGGGUUAGUGUUGGAGCUAGGGUUAGGGUUGGGCUUGGAGCUAGGACUUUUCUGAGUGCAAUGAACCAACUCCCGAGUCUCUAGGACGUUCCCUAAAAAAAAUUGAUUUUUUCCCAUAGGAAUGCAUGGGUUAGGGUUAGGGUUAGGGUUGGAGCUAGGGUUAGGGUUAGGGUUAGGGUUAGAGUUAGGGUUAGUGUUGGAGCUAGGGUUAGGGUUGGGCUUGGAGCUAGGAUUUUUCUGAGUGCACUGAACCAACUCCCGAGUCUCUAGGACAUUCCUAAAAAAAAUUGAUUUUUUUCCAUAGGAAUGCAUGGGUUAGGGUUAGGGUUAGGGUUGGAGCUAGGGUUAGUGUUAGGUUUAGGGUUGGAGUUAGGGUUAGUGUUGGAGUUAGGGUUAGGGUUGGGCUUGGAGCUAGGAUUUUUCUGAGUGCAAUGAACCAACUCCCGAGUCUCUAGGACGUUCCUAAAAAAAUUUGAUUUUUUCCCAUAGGAAUGCAUGGGUUAGGGUUAGGGUUAGGGUUGGAGCUAGGGUUAGGGUUAGGGUUAGGGUUGGAGUUAGGGUUAGUGUUGGAGCUAGGGUUAGGGUUGGGCUUGGAGCUAGGAUUUUUCUGAGUGCACUGAACCAACUCCCGAGUCUCUAGGACAUUCCUAAAAAAAUUUGAUUUUUUCCCAUAGGAAUGCAUGGGUUAGGGUUAUGGUUAGGGUUAGGGUUGGAGCUAGGGUUAGGGUUAGGGUUAGGGUUGGAGUUAGGGUUAGUGUUGGAGCUAGGGUUAGGGUUGGGCUUGGAGCUAGGAUUUUUCUGAGAGGCACUGAACCAACUCCCGAGUCUCUAGGACAUUCCUAAAAAAAUUUGAUUUUUCCCAUAGGAAUGCAUGGGUUAGGGUUAUGGUUAGGGUUAGGGUUGGAGCUAGGGUUAGGGUUAGGGUUAGGGUUGGAGUUAUGGUUAGUGUUGGAGCUAGGGUUAGGGUUGGGCUUGGAGCUAGGAUUUUUCUGAGUGCAAUGAACCAACUCCCGAGUCUCUAGGACGUUCCUAAAAAAAUUUGAUUUUUUCCCAUAGGAAUGCAUGGGUUAGGGUUAGGGUUAGGGUUGGAGCUAGGGUUAGGGUUAGGGUUAGGGUUAGGGUUGGAGUUAGGGUUAGUGUUGGAGCUAGGGUUAGGGUUGGGCUUGGAGCUAGGAUUUUUCUGAGUGCACUGAACCAACUCCCGAGUCUCUAGGACAUUCCUAAAAAAAUUUGAUUUUUUCCCAUAGGAAUGCAUGGGUUAGGGUUAGGGUUAGGGUUGGAGCUAGGGUUAGGGUUAGGGUUAGGGUUGGAGUUAGGGUUAGUGUUGGAGCUAGGGUUAGGGUUGGGCUUGGACUAGGAUUUUUCUGAGUGCACUGAACCAACUCCCGAGUCUCUAGGACAUUCCUAAAAAAAUUUGAUUUUUUCCCAUAGGAAUGCAUGGGUUAGGGUUAUGGUUAGGGUUAGGGUUGGAGCUAGGGUUAGGGUUAGGGUUAGGGUUGGAGUUAGGGUUAGUGUUGGAGCUAGGGUUAGGGUUGGGCUUGGAGCUAGGAUUUUUCUGAGUGCAAUGAACCAACUCCCGAGUCUCUUGGACGUUCCUAAAAAAAUUUGAUUUUUUCCCAUAGGAAUGCAUGGGUUAGGGUUAGGGUUAGGGUUGGAGCUAGGGUUAGGGUUAGGGUUAGGGUUGGAGUUAGGGUUAGUGUUGGAGCUAGGGUUAGGGUUGGGCUUGGAGCUAGGAUUUUUCUGAGUGCACUGAACCAACUCCCGAGUCUCUAGGACAUUCCUAAAAAAAUUUGAUUUUUUCCCAUAGGAAUGCAUGGGUUAGGGUUAUGUUUAGGGUUAGGGUUGGAGCUAGGGUUAGGGUUAGGGUUAGGGUUGGAGUUAGGGUUAGUGUUGGAGCUAGGGUUAGGGUUGGGCUUGGAGCUAGGAUUUUUCUGAGUGCAAUGAACCAACUCCCGAGUCUCUUGGACGUUCCUAAAAAAAUUUGAUUUUUUCCCAUAGGAAUGCAUGGGUUAGGGUUAGGGUUAGGGUUGGAGCUAGGGUUAGGGUUAGGGUUAGGGUUGGAGUUAGGGUUAGUGUUGGAGCUAGGGUUAGGGUUGGGCUUGGAGCUAGGAUUUUUCUGAGUGCAAUGAACCAACUCCCGAGUCUCUAGGACGUUCCUAAAAAAAUUUGAUUUUUUCCCAUAGGAAUGCAUGGGUUAGGGUUAGGGUUAGGGUUAGGGUUGGAGCUAGGGUUAGGGUUAGGGUUAGGGUUGGAGUUAGGGUUAGUGUUGGAGCUAGGGUUAGGGUUGGGCUUGGAGCUAGGAUUUUUCUGAGUGCAAUGAACCAACCCCGAGUCUCUAGGACGUUCCUAAAAAAUUUGAUUUUUUCCCAUAGGAAUGCAUGGGUUAGGGUUAUGGUUAGGGUUAGGGUUGGAGCUAGGGUUAGGGUUAGGGUUAGGGUUGGAGUUAGGGUUAGUGUUUGAGCUAGGGUUAGGGUUGGGCUUGGAGCUAGGAUUUUUCUGAGUGCAAUGAACCAACUCCCGAGUCUCUAGGACGUUCCUAAAAAAAUUUGAUUUUUUCCCAUAGGAAUGCAUGGGUUAGGGUUAGGGUUAGGGUUGGAGCUAGGGUUAGGGUUAGGGUUAGGGUUGGAGUUAGGGUUAGUGUUGGAGCUAGGGUUAGGGUUGGGCUUGGAGCUAGGAUUUUUCUGAGUGCAAUGAACCAACUCCCGAGUCUCUAGGACGUUCCUAAAACAAUUUGAUUUUUUCCCAUAGGAAUGCAUGGGUUAGGGUUAGGGUUAGGGUUGGAGCUAGGGUUAGGGUUAGGGUUAGGGUUGGAGUUAGGGUUAGUGUUGGAGCUAGGGUUAGGGUUGGGCUUGGAGCUAGGACUUUUCUGAGUGCAAUGAACCAACUCCCGAGUCUCUAGGACGUUCCCUAAAAAAAUUUGAUUUUUUCCCAUAGGAAUGCAUGGGUUAGGGUUAGGGUUAGGGUUGGAGCUAGGGUUAGGGUUAGGGUUAGGGUUAGAGUUAGGGUUAGUGUUGGAGCUAGGGUUAGGGUUGGGCUUGGAGCUAGGAUUUUUCUGAGUGCACUGAACCAACUCCCGAGUCUCUAGGACAUUCCUAAAAAAAUUGAUUUUUUUCCAUAGGAAUGCAUGGGUUAGGGUUAGGGUUAGGGUUGGAGCUAGGGUUAGUGUUAGGUUUAGGGUUGGAGUUAGGGUUAGUGUUGGAGCUAGGGUUAGGGUUGGGCUUGGAGCUAGGAUUUUUCUGAGUGCAAUGAACCAACUCCCGAGUCUCUAGGACGUUCCUAAAAAAAUUGAUUUUUUCCCAUAGGAAUGCAUGGGUUAGGGUUAGGGUUAGGGUUGGAGCUAGGGUUAGGGUUAGGGUUAGGGUUGGAGUUAGGGUUAGUGUUGGAGCUAGGGUUAGGGUUGGGCUUGGAGCUAGGAUUUUUCUGAGUGCAAUGAACCAACUCCCGAGUCUCUAGGACGUUCCUAAAAAAAUUUGAUUUUUUCCCAUAGGAAUGCAUGGGUUAGGGUUAGGGUUAGGGUUGGAGCUAGGGUUAGGGUUAGGGUUAGGGUUGGAGUUAGGGUUAGUGUUGGAGCUAGGGUUAGGGUUGGGCUUGGAGCUAGGAUUUUUCUGAGUGCACUGAACCAACUCCCGAGUCUCUAGGACAUUCCUAAAAAAAUUUGAUUUUUUCCCAUAGGAAUGCAUGGGUUAGGGUUAGGGUUAGGGUUGGAGCUAGGGUUAGGGUUAGGGUUGGAGUUAGGGUUAGUGUUGGAGCUAGGGUUAGGGUUGGGCUUGGAGCUAGGACUUUUCUGAGUGCAAUGAACCAACUCCCGAGUCUCUAGGACGUUCCCUAAAAAAAAUUGAUUUUUUCCCAUAGGAAUGCAUGGGUUAGGGUUAGGGUUAGGGUUGGAGCUAGGGUUAGGGUUAGGGUUAGGGUUAGAGUUAGGGUUAGUGUUGGAGCUAGGGUUAGGGUUGGGCUUGGAGCUAGGAUUUUUCUGAGUGCACUGAACCAACUCCCGAGUCUCUAGGACAUUCCUAAAAAAAAUUGAUUUUUUUCCCAUAGGAAUGCAUGGGUUAGGGUUAGGGUUAGGGUUGGAGCUAGGGUUAGUGUUAGGUUUAGGGUUGGAGUUAGGGUUAGUGUUGGAGUUAGGGUUAGGGUUGGGCUUGGAGCUAGGAUUUUUCUGAGUGCAAUGAACCAACUCCCGAGUCUCUAGGACGUUCCUAAAAAAAUUUGAUUUUUUCCCAUAGGAAUGCAUGGGUUAGGGUUAGGGUUAGGGUUGGAGCUAGGGUUAGGGUUAGGGUUAGGGUUGGAGUUAGGGUUAGUGUUGGAGCUAGGGUUAGGGUUGGGCUUGGAGCUAGGAUUUUUCUGAGUGCACUGAACCAACUCCCGAGUCUCUAGGACAUUCCUAAAAAAAUUUGAUUUUUUCCCAUAGGAAUGCAUGGGUUAGGGUUAUGGUUAGGGUUAGGGUUGGAGCUAGGGUUAGGGUUAGGGUUAGGGUUGGAGUUAGGGUUAGUGUUGGAGCUAGGGUUAGGGUUGGGCUUGGAGCUAGGAUUUUUCUGAGAGCACUGAACCAACUCCCGAGUCUCUAGGACAUUCCUAAAAAAAUUUGAUUUUUUCCCAUAGGAAUGCAUGGGUUAGGGUUAUGGUUAGGGUUAGGGUUGGAGCUAGGGUUAGGGUUAGGGUUAGGGUUGGAGUUAUGGUUAGUGUUGGAGCUAGGGUUAGGGUUGGGCUUGGAGCUAGGAUUUUUCUGAGUGCAAUGAACCAACUCCAGAGUCUCUAGGACGUUCCUAAAAAAAUUUGAUUUUUUCCCAUAGGAAUGCAUGGGUUAGGGUUAGGGUUAGGGUUGGAGCUAGGGUUAGGGUUAGGGUUAGGGUUAGGGUUGGAGUUAGGGUUAGUGUUGGAGCUAGGGUUAGGGUUGGGCUUGGAGCUAGGAUUUUUCUGAGUGCACUGAACCAACUCCCGAGUCUCUAGGACAUUCCUAAAAAAAUUUGAUUUUUUCCCAUAGGAAUGCAUGGGUUAGGGUUAGGGUUAGGGUUGGAGCUAGGGUUAGGGUUAGGGUUAGGGUUGGAGUUAGGGUUAGUGUUGGAGCUAGGGUUAGGGUUGGGCUUGGAGCUAGGAUUUUUCUGAGUGCACUGAACCAACUCCCGAGUCUCUAGGACAUUCCUAAAAAAUUUGAUUUUUUCCCAUAGGAAUGCAUGGGUUAGGGUUAUGGUUAGGGUUAGGGUUGGAGCUAGGGUUAGGGUUAGGGUUAGGGUUGGAGUUAGGGUUAGUGUUGGAGCUAGGGUUAGGGUUGGGCUUGGAGCUAGGAUUUUUCUGAGUGCAAUGAACCAACUCCCGAGUCUCUUGGACGUUCCUAAAAAAAUUUGAUUUUUUCCCAUAGGAAUGCAUGGGUUAGGGUUAGGGUUAGGGUUGGAGCUAGGGUUAGGGUUAGGGUUAGGGUUGGAGUUAGGGUUAGUGUUGGAGCUAGGGUUAGGGUUGGGCUUGGAGCUAGGAUUUUUCUGAGUGCACUGAACCAACUCCCGAGUCUCUAGGACAUUCCUAAAAAAAUUAGAUUUUUUCCCAUAGGAAUGCAUGGGUUAGGGUUAUGUUUAGGGUUAGGGUUGGAGCUAGGGUUAGGGUUAGGGUUAGGGUUGGAGUUAGGGUUAGUGUUGGAGCUAGGGUUAGGGUUGGGCUUGGAGCUAGGAUUUUUCUGAGUGCAAUGAACCAACUCCCGAGUCUCUUGGACGUUCCUAAAAAAAUUUGAUUUUUUCCCAUAGGAAUGCAUGGGUUAGGGUUAGGGUUAGGGUUGGAGCUAGGGUUAGGGUUAGGGUUAGGGUUGGAGUUAGGGUUAGUGUUGGAGCUAGGGUUAGGGUUGGGCUUGGAGCUAGGAUUUUUCUGAGUGCAAUGAACCAACUCCCGAGUCUCUAGGACGUUCCUAAAAAAAUUUGAUUUUUUCCCAUAGGAAUGCAUGGGUUAGGGUUAGGGUUAGGGUUGGAGCUAGGGUUAGGGUUAGGGUUAGGGUUGGAGUUAAGGUUAGUGUUGGAGCUAGGGUUAGGGUUGGGCUUGGAGCUAGGAUUUUUCUGAGUGCAAUGAACCAACUACCGAGUCUCUAGGACGUUCCUAAAAAAAUUUGAUUUUUUCCCAUAGGAAUGCAUGGGUUAGGGUUAUGGUUAGGGUUAGGGUUGGAGCUAGGGUUAGGGUUAGGGUUAGGGUUGGAGUUAGGGUUAGUGUUGGAGCUAGGGUUAGGGUUGGGCUUGGAGCUAGGAUUUUUCUGAGUGCAAUGAACCAACCCCCGAGUCUCUAGGACGUUCCUAAAAAAAUUUGAUUUUUUCCCAUAGGAAUGCAUGGGUUAGGGUUAUGGUUAGGGUUAGGGUUGGAGCUAGGGUUAGGGUUAGGGUUAGGGUUGGAGUUAGGGUUAGUGUUGGAGCUAGGGUUAGGGUUGGGCUUGGAGCUAGGAUUUUUCUGAGUGCAAUGAACCAACUCCCGAGUCUCUAGGACAUUCCUAAAAAAAUUUGAUUUUUUCCCAUAGGAAUGCAUGGGUUAGGGUUAGGGUUAGGGUUGGAGCUAGGGUUAGGGUUAGGGUUAGGGUUGGAGUUAGGGUUAGUGUUGGAGCUAGGGUUAGGGUUGGGCUUGGAGCUAGGAUUUUUCUGAGUGCAAUGAACCAACUCCCGAGUCUCUAGGACGUUCCUAAAAAAAUUUGAUUUUUUCCCAUAGGAAUGCAUGGGUUAGGGUUAGGGUUAGGGUUGGAGCUAGGGUUAGGGUUAGGGUUAGGGUUAGUGUUGGAGCUAGGGUUAGGGUUGGGCUUGGAGCUAGGAUUUUUCUGAGUGCACUGAACCAACUCCCGAGUCUCUAGGACAUUCCUAAAAAAAUUAGAUUUUUUCCCAUAGGAAUGCAUGGGUUAGGGUUAGGGUUAGGCUUGGAGCUAGGGUUAGGGUUAGGGUUAGGGUUGGAGUUAGGGUUAGUGUUGGAGCUAGGGUUAGGGUUGGGCUUGGAGCUAGGAUUUUUCUGAGUGCAAUGAACCAACUCCCGAGUCUCUAGGACGUUCCUAAAAAAAUUUGAUUUUUUCCCAUAGGAAUGCAUGGGUUAGGGUUAGGGUUAGGGUUGGAGCUAGGGUUAGGGUUAGGGUUAGGGUUGGAGUUAGGGUUAGUGUUGGAGCUAGGGUUAGGGUUGGGCUUGGAGCUAGGAUUUUUCUGAGUGCACUGAACCAACUCCCGAGUCUCUAGGACAUUCCUAAAAAAAUUUGAUUUUUUCCCAUAGGAAUGCAUGGGUUAGGGUUAUGGUUAGGGUUAGGGUUGGAGCUAGGGUUAGGGUUAGGGUUAGGGUUGGAGUUAGGGUUAGUGUUGGAGCUAGGGUUAGGGUUGGGCUUGGAGCUAGGAUUUUUCUGAGUGCACUGAACCAACUCCCGAGUCUCUAGGACAUUCCUAAAAAAAUUUGAUUUUUUCCCAUAGGAAUGCAUGGGUUAGGGUUAGGGUUAGGCUUGGAGCUAGGGUUAGGGUUAGGGUUAGGGUUGGAGUUAGGGUUAGUGUUGGAGCUAGGGUUAGGGUUGGGCUUGGAGCUAGGAUUUUUCUGAGUGCACUGAACCAACUCCCGAGUCUCUAGGACAUUCCUAAAAAAAAUUGAUUUUUUUCCCAUAGGAAUGCAUGGGUUAGGGUUAUGGUUAGGGUUAGGGUUGGAGCUAGGGUUAGGGUUGGAGUUAGGGUUAGUGUUGGAGCUAGGGUUAGGGUUAGGGUUAGGGUUAGGGUUAGGGUUAGGGUUAGGUUAGGGUUAGGGUUGGAGCUAGGGUUAGGGUUAGGGUUAGGGUUGGAGUUAGGGUUAGUGUUGGACCUAGGGUUAGGGUUGGGCUUGGAGCUAGGAUUUUUCUGAGUGCAAUGAACCAACUCCCGAGUCUCUAGGACGUUCCUAAACAAAUUUGAUUUUUUCCCAUAGGAAUGCAUGGGUUAGGGUUAGGGUUAGGGUUGGAGCUAGGGUUAGGGUUAGGGUUAGGGUUGGAGUUAGGGUUAGUGUUGGAGCUAGGGUUAGGGUUGGGCUUGGAGCUAGGAUUUUUCUGAGUGCAAUGAACCAACUCCCGAGUCUCUAGGACGUUCCUAAAAAAUUUGAUUUUUUCCCAUAGGAAUGCAUGGGUUAGGGUUAGGGUUAGGGUUGGAGCUAGGGUUAGGGUUAGGGUUAGGGUUGGAGUUAAGGUUAGUGUUGGAGCUAGGGUUAGGGUUGGGCUUGGAGCUAGGAUUUUUCUGAGUGCAAUGAACCAACUCCCGAGUCUCUAGGACGUUCCUAAAAAAAAUUGAUUUUUUCCCAUAGGAAUGCAUGGGUUAGGGUUAUGGUUAGGGUUAGGGUUGGAGCUAGGGUUAGGGUUAGGGUUAGGGUUGGAGUUAGGGUUAGUGUUGGAGCUAGGGUUAGGGUUGGGCUUGGAGCUAGGAUUUUUCUGAGUGCAAUGAACCAACCCCCGAGUCUCUAGGACGUUCCUAAAAAAAUUUGAUUUUUUCCCAUAGGAAUGCAUGGGUUAGGGUUAUGGUUAGGGUUAGGGUUGGAGCUAGGGUUAGGGUUAGGGUUAGGGUUGGAGUUAGGGUUAGUGUUGGAGCUAGGGUUAGGGUUGGGCUUGGAGCUAGGAUUUUUCUGAGUGCAAUGAACCAACUCCCGAGUCUCUAGGACGUUCCUAAAAAAAUUUGAUUUUUUUCCCCNNNNNNNNNNNNNNNNNNNNNNNNNNNNNNNNNNNNNNNNNNNNNNNNNNNNNNNNNNNNNNNNNNNNNNNNNNNNNNNNNNNNNNNNNNNNNNNNNNNNNNNNNNNNNNNNNNNNNNNNNNNNNNNNNNNNNNNNNNNNNNNNNNNNNNNNNNNNNNNNNNNNNNNNNNNNNNNNNNNNNNNNNNNNNNNNNNNNNNNNGUCUCUGAGGACAUUCCUAAAAAAAAUUUGAUUUUUCCCAUAGGAAUGCAUGGAGUUGGGGUUAGGGUUAGGGUUGGAGCUAGGGUUAGGGUUAGGGUUGGGGUUGGAGUUAGGGUUAGUGUUGGAGCUAGGGUUAGGGUUGGGCUUGGAGCUAGGAUUUUUCUGAGUGCAAUGAACCAACUCCCGAGUCUCUAGGACGUUCCUAAAAAAAUUUGAUUUUUUCCCAUAGGAAUGCAUGGGUUAGGGUUAGGGUUAGGGUUGGAGCUAGGGUUAGGGUUAGGGUUAGGGUUGGAGUUAGGGUUAGUGUUGGAGCUAGGGUUAGGGUUGGGCUUGGAGCUAGGAUUUUUCUGAGUGCACUGAACCAACUCCCGAGUCUCUAGGACGUUCCUAAAAAAAUUUGAUUUUUUUCCCAUAGGAAUGCAUGGGUUAGGGUUAUGGUUAGGGUUGGAGCUAGGGUUAGGGUUAGGGUUAGGGUUGGAGUUAGGGUUAGUGUUGGAGCUAGGGUUAGGGUUGGGCUUGGAGCUAGGAUUUUUCUGAGUGCACUGAACCAACUCCCGAGUCUCUAGGACGUUCCUAAAAAAAUUUGAUUUUUUCCCAUAGGAAUGCAUGGGUUAGGGUUAGGGUUAGGGUUGGAGCUAGGGUUAGGGUUAGGGUUAGGGUUGGAGUUAGGGUUAGUGUUGGAGCUAGGGUUAGGGUUGGGCUUGGAGCUAGGAUUUUUCUGAGUGCACUGAACCAACUCCCGAGUCUCUAGGACGUUCCUAAAAAAAAAUUUGAUUUUUUCCCAUAGGAAAUGCAUGGGUUAGGGUUAGGGUUAGGGUUGGAGCUAGGGUUAGGGUUAGGGUUAGGGUUGGAGUUAGGGUUAGUGUUGGAGCUAGGGUUAGGGUUGGGCUUGGAGCUAGGAUUUUUCUGAGUGCACUGAACCAACUCCCGAGUCUCUAGGACAUUCCUAAAAAAAUUUGAUUUUUUCCCAUAGGAAUGCAUGGGUUAGGGUUAUGGUUGGGGUUAGGGUUGGAGCUAGGGUUAGGGUUAGGGUUAGGGUUGGAGUUAGGGUUAGUGUUGGAGCUAGGGUUAGGGUUGGGCUUGGAGCUAGGAUUUUUCUGAGUGCACUGAACCAACUCCCGAGUCUCUAGGACAUUCCUAAAAAAAAUUGAUUUUUUCCCAUAGGAAUGCAUGGGUUAGGGUUAUGGUUAGGGUUAGGGUUGGAGCUAGGGUUAGGGUUAGGGUUAGGGUUGGAGUUAGGGUUAGUGUUGGAGCUAGGGUUAGGGUUGGGCUUGGAGCUAGGAUUUUUCUGAGUGCACUGAACCAACUCCCGAGUCUCUAGGACAUUCCUAAAAAAAUUUGAUUUUUCCCAUAGGAAUGCAUGGGUUAGGGUUAGGGUUAGGGUUGGAGCUAGGGUUAGGGUUAGGGUUAGGGUUGGAGUUAGGGUUAGUGUUGGAGCUAGGGUUAGGGUUGGGCUUGGAGCUAGGAUUUUUCUGAGUGCACUGAACCAACUCCCGAGUCUCUAGGACAUUCCUAAAAAAAUUUGAUUUUUUCCCAUAGGAAUGCAUGGGUUAGGGUUAGGGUUAGGGUUGGAGCUAGGGUUAGGGUUAGGGUUAGGGUUGGAGUUAGGGUUAGUGUUGGAGCUAGGGUUAGGGUUGGGCUUGGAGCUAGGAUUUUUCUGAGUGCACUGAACCAACUCCCGAGUCUCUAGGACAUUCCUAAAAAAAUUUGAUUUUUCCCAUAGGAAUGCAUGGGUUAGGGUUAUGGUUAGUUAGGGUUGGAGCUAGGGUUAGGGUUAGGGUUAGGGUUGGAGUUAGGGUUAGUGUUGGAGCUAGGGUUAGGGUUGGGCUUGGAGCUAGGAUUUUUCUGAGUGCAAUGAACCAACUCCCGAGUCUCUAGGACGUUCCUAAAAAAAUUUGAUUUUUUUCCCAUAGGAAUGCAUGGGUUAGGGUUAGGGUUAGGGUUAGGGUUGGAGCUAGGGUUAGGGUUAGGGUUAGGGUUGGAGUUAGGGUUAGUGUUGGAGCUAGGGUUAGGGUUGGGCUUGGAGCUAGGAUUUUUCUGAGUGCAAUGAACCAACUCCCGAGUCUCUAGGACGUUCCUAAAAAAAUUUGAUUUUUUCCCAUAGGAAUGCAUGGGUUAGGGUUAUGGUUAGGGUUAGGGUUGGAGCUAGGGUUAGGGUUAGGGUUAGGGUUGGAGUUAGGGUUAGUGUUGGAGCUAGGGUUAGGGUUGGGCUUGGAGCUAGGAUUUUCUGAGUGCAAUGAACCAACUCCCGAGUCUCUAGGACGUUCCUAAAAAAAUUUGAUUUUUUCCCAUAGGAAUGCAUGGGUUAGGGUUAGGGUUAGGGUUGGAGCUAGGGUUAGGGUUAGGGUUAGGGUUGGAGUUAGGGUUAGUGUUGGAGCUAGGGUUAGGGUUGGGCUUGGAGCUAGGAUUUUUCUGAGUGCAAUGAACCAACUCCCGAGUCUCUAGGACGUUCCUAAAAAAUUUGAUUUUUUCCCAUAGGAAUGCAUGGGUUAGGGUUAGGGUUAGGGUUAGGGUUGGAGCUAGGGUUAGGGUUAGGGUUAGGGUUGGAGUUAGGGUUAGUGUUGGAGCUAGGGUUAGGGUUGGGCUUGGAGCUAGGAUUUUCUGAGUGCACUGAACCAACUCCCGAGUCUCUAGGACAUUCCUAAAAAAAUUUGAUUUUUUCCCAUAGGAAUGCAUGGGUUAGGGUUAGGGUUAGGGUUAGGGUUGGAGCUAGGGUUAGGGUUAGGGUUAGGGUUGGAGUUAGGGUUAGUGUUGGAGCUAGGGUUAGGGUUGGGCUUGGAGCUAGGAUUUUUCUGAGUGCACUGAACCAACUCCCGAGUCUCUAGGACAUUCCUAAAAAAAUUUGAUUUUUCCCAUAGGAAUGCAUGGGUUAGGGUUAGGGUUAGGGUUGGAGCUAGGGUUAGGGUUAGGGUUGGAGUUAGGGUUAGUGUUGGAGCUAGGGUUAGGGUUGGGCUUGGAGCUAGGAUUUUUCUGAGUGCAAUGAACCAACUCCCGAGUCUCUAGGACGUUCCUAAAAAAUUUGAUUUUUUCCCAUAGGAAUGCAUGGGUUAGGGUUAGGGUUAGGGUUGGAGCUAGGGUUAGGGUUAGGGUUAGGGUUGGAGUUAGGGUUAGUGUUGGAGCUAGGGUUAGGGUUGGGCUUGGAGCUAGGAUUUUUCUGAGUGCACUGAACCAACUCCCGAGUCUCUAGGACGUUCCUAAAAAAAUUUGAUUUUUUCCCAUAGGAAUGCAUGGGUUAGGGUUAGGGUUAGGGUUAGGGUUGGAGCUAGGGUUAGGGUUAGGGUUAGGGUUGGAGUUAGGGUUAGUGUUGGAGCUAGGGUUAGGGUUGGGCUUGGAGCUAGGAUUUUUCUGAGUGCACUGAACCAACUCCCGAGUCUCUCUAGGAGGCGUUCCUAAAAAAUUUGAUUUUUUCCCAUAGGAAUGCAUGGGUUAGGGUUAGGGUUAGGGUUAGGGUUGGAGCUAGGGUUAGGGUUAGGGUUAGGGUUGGAGUUAGGGUUAGUGUUGGAGCUAGGGUUAGGGUUGGGCUUGGAGCUAGGAUUUUUCUGAGUGCAAUGAACCAACUCCCGAGUCUCUUGGACGUUCCUAAAAAAAUUUGAUUUUUUUCCCAUAGGAAUGCAUGGGUUAGGGUUAGGGUUAGGGUUGGAGCUAGGGUUAGGGUUAGGGUUAGGGUUGGAGUUAGGGUUAGUGUUGGAGCUAGGGUUAGGGUUGGGCUUGGAGCUAGGAUUUUUCUGAGUGCACUGAACCAACUCCCGAGUCUCUAGGACAUUCCUAAAAAAAUUUGAUUUUUUCCCAUAGGAAUGCAUGGGUUAGGGUUAGGGUUAGGGUUGGAGCUAGGGUUAGGGUUAGGGUUAGGGUUGGAGUUAGGGUUAGUGUUGGAGCUAGGGUUAGGGUUGGGCUUGGAGCUAGGAUUUUUCUGAGUGCACUGAACCAACUCCCGAGUCUCUAGGACAUUCCUAAAAAAAUUUGAUUUUUUCCCAUAGGAAUGCAUGGGUUAGGGUUAUGGUUAGGGUUAGGGUUGGAGCUAGGGUUAGGGUUAGGGUUAGGGUUGGAGUUAGGGUUAGUGUUGGAGCUAGGGUUAGGGUUGGGCUUGGAGCUAGGAUUUUUCUGAGUGCACUGAACCAACUCCCGAGUCUCUAGGACGUUCCUAAAAAAUUUGAUUUUUUCCCAUAGGAAUGCAUGGGUUAGGGUUAUGGUUAGGGUUAGGGUUGGAGCUAGGGUUAGGGUUAGGGUUAGGGUUGGAGUUAGGGUUAGUGUUGGAGCUAGGGUUAGGGUUGGGCUUGGAGCUAGGAUUUUUCUGAGUGCACUGAACCAACUCCCGAGUCUCUAGGACAUUCCUAAAAAAAUUUGAUUUUUUUCCCAUAGGAAUGCAUGGGUUAGGGUUAGGGUUAGGGUUGGAGCUAGGGUUAGGGUUAGGGUUAGGGUUGGAGUUAGGGUUAGUGUUGGAGCUAGGGUUAGGGUUGGGCUUGGAGCUAGGAUUUUUCUGAGUGCACUGAACCAACUCCCGAGUCUCUAGGACAUUCCUAAAAAAAAAUUUGAUUUUUUCCCAUAGGAAUGCAUGGGUUAGGGUUAUGGUUAGGGUUAGGGUUGGAGCUAGGGUUAGGGUUAGGGUUAGGGUUGGAGUUAGGGUUAGUGUUGGAGCUAGGGUUAGGGUUGGGCUUGGAGCUAGGAUUUUUCUGAGUGCACUGAACCAACUCCCGAGUCUCUAGGACAUUCCUAAAAAAAAAUUGAUUUUUUCCCAUAGGAAUGCAUGGGUUAGGGUUAUGGUUAGGGUUAGGGUUGGAGCUAGGGUUAGGGUUAGGGUUAGGGUUGGAGUUAGGGUUAGUGUUGGAGCUAGGGUUAGGGUUGGGCUUGGAGCUAGGAUUUUUCUGAGUGCAAUGAACCAACUCCCGAGUCUCUAGGACAUUCCUAAAAAAAUUUGAUUUUUUCCCAUAGGAAUGCAUGGGUUAGGGUUAGGGUUAGGGUUGGAGCUAGGGUUAGGGUUAGGGUUGGGUUGGAGUUAGGGUUAGUGUUGGAGCUAGGGUUAGGGUUGGGCUUGGAGCUAGGAUUUUUCUGAGUGCAAUGAACCAACUCCCGAGUCUCUAGGACAUUCCUAAAAAAAUUUGAUUUUUUCCCAUAGGAAUGCAUGGGUUAGGGUUAGGGUUAGGGUUGGAGCUAGGGUUAGGGUUAGGGUUAGGGUUGGAGUUAGGGUUAGUGUUGGAGCUAGGGUUAGGGUUGGGCUUGGAGCUAGGAUUUUUCUGAGUGCAAUGAACCAACUCCCGAGUCUCUAGGACAUUCCUAAAAAAAAAUUUGAUUUUUUCCCAUAGGAAUGCAUGGGUUAGGGUUAUGGUUAGGGUUAGGGUUGGAGCUAGGGUUAGGGUUAGGGUUAGGGUUGGAGUUAGGGUUAGUGUUGGAGCUAGGGUUAGGGUUGGGCUUGGAGCUAGGAUUUUUCUGAGUGCAAUGAACCAACUCCCGAGUCUCUAGGACGUUCUAAAAAAAAUUUGAUUUUUUCCCAUAGGAAUGCAUGGGUUAGGGUUAUGGUUAGGGUUAGGGUUGGAGCUAGGGUUAGGGUUAGGGUUAGGGUUGGAGUUAGGGUUAGUGUUGGAGCUAGGGUUAGGGUUGGGCUUGGAGCUAGGAUUUUUCUGAGUGCAAUGAACCAACUCCCGAGUCUCUAGGACGUUCCUAAAAAAAUUUGAUUUUUUCCCAUAGGAAUGCAUGGGUUAGGGUUAGGGUUAGGGUUGGAGCUAGGGUUAGGGUUAGGGUUAGGGUUGGAGUUAGGGUUAGUGUUGGAGCUAGGGUUAGGGUUGGGCUUGGAGCUAGGAUUUUUCUGAGUGCAAUGAACCAACUCCCGAGUCUCUAGGACGUUCCUAAAAAAAAAUUUGAUUUUUUCCCAUAGGAAUGCAUGGGUUAGGGUUAGGGUUAGGGUUGGAGCUAGGGUUAGGGUUAGGGUUAGGGUUGGAGUUAGGGUUAGUGUUGGAGCCAGGGUUAGGGUUGGGCUUGGAGCUAGGAUUUUUCUGAGUGCACUGAACCAACUCCCGAGUCUCUAGGACAUUCCUAAAAAAUUUGAUUUUUUUCCCAUAGGAAUGCAUGGGUUAGGGUUAGUGGUUAGGGUUAGGGUUGGAGCUAGGGUUAGGGUUAGGGUUAGGGUUGGAGUUAGGGUUAGUGUUGGAGCUAGGGUUAGGGUUGGGCUUGGAGCUAGGAUUUUUCUGAGUGCAAUGAACCAACCCCCGAGUCUCUAGGACGUUCCUAAAAAAAUUUGAUUUUUUCCCUAUAGGAAUGCAUGGGUUAGGGUUAGGGUUAGGGUUGGAGCUAGGGUUAGGGUUAGGGUUAGGGUUGGAGUUAGGGUUAGUGUUGGAGCUAGGGUUAGGGUUGGGCUUGGAGCUAGGAUUUUUCUGAGUGCAAUGAACCAACUCCCGAGUCUCUAGGACGUUCCUAAAAAAAUUUGAUUUUUUCCCAUAGGAAUGCAUGGGUUAGGGUUAGGGUUAGGGUUGGAGCUAGGGUUAGGGUUAGGGUUAGGGUUGGAGUUAGGGUUAGUGUUGGAGCUAGGGUUAGGGUUGGGCUUGGAGCUAGGUUUUUCUGAGGGUGCACUGAACCAACUCCCGAGUCUCUAGGACAUUCCUAAAAAAAUUUGAUUUUUUCCCAUAGGAAUGCAUGGGUUAGGGUUAUGGUUAGGGUUGGAGCUAGGGUUAGGGUUAGGGUUAGGGUUGGAGUUAGGGUUAGUGUUGGAGCUAGGGUUAGGGUUGGGCUUGGAGCUAGGAUUUUUCUGAGUGCACUGAACCAACUCCCGAGUCUCUAGGACAUUCCUAAAAAAAUUUGAUUUUUUCCCAUAGGAAUGCAUGGGUUAGGGUUAGGGUUAGGGUUGGAGCUAGGGUUAGGGUUAGGGUUAGGGUUGGAGUUAGGGUUAGUGUUGGAGCUAGGGUUAGGGUUGGGCUUGGAGCUAGGAUUUUUCUGAGUGCACUGAACCAACUCCCGAGUCUCUAGGACAUUCCUAAAAAAAUUUGAUUUUUCCCAUAGGAAUGCAUGGGUUAGGGUUAUGGUUAGGGUUAGGGUUGGAGCUAGGGUUAGGGUUAGGGUUAGGGUUGGAGUUAGGGUUAGUGUUGGAGCUAGGGUUAGGGUUGGGCUUGGAGCUAGGAUUUUUCUGAGUGCACUGAACCAACUCCCGAGUCUCUAGGACAUUCCUAAAAAAAUUUGAUUUUUUUCCCAUAGGAAUGCAUGGGUUAGGGUUAGGGUUAUGGUUAGGGUUAGGGUUAGGGUUAGGGUUAGGGUUGGAGUUAGGGUUAGUGUUGGAGCUAGGGUUAGGGUUGGGCUUGGAGCUAGGAUUUUUCUGAGUGCACUGAACCAACUCCCGGGUCUCUAGGACAUUCCUAAAAAAAUUUGAUUUUUUCCCAUAGGAAUGCAUGGGUUAGGGUUAGGGUUAGGGUUGGAGCUAGGGUUAGGGUUAGGGUUAGGGUUGGAGUUAGGGUUAGUGUUGGAGCUAGGGUUAGGGUUGGGCUUGGAGCUAGGAUUUUUCUGAGUGCAAUGAACCAACUCCCGAGUCUCUAGGACAUUCCUAAAAA
This 20421-nucleotide long non-coding RNA is filed under the name Xyrichtys novacula (pearly razorfish). Lineage: Eukaryota; Metazoa; Chordata; Actinopteri; Labriformes; Labridae. The record is from RNAcentral.